CUCAGGACGAACGCUGGCGGCGUGCCUAAUACAUGCAAGUCGAACGAACUCUGGUAUUGAUUGGUGCUUGCAUCAUGAUUUACAUUUGAGUGAGUGGCGAACUGGUGAGUAACACGUGGGAAACCUGCCCAGAAGCGGGGGAUAACACCUGGAAACAGAUGCUAAUACCGCAUAACAACUUGGACCGCAUGGUCCGAGUUUGAAAGAUGGCUUCGGCUAUCACUUUUGGAUGGUCCCGCGGCGUAUUAGCUAGAUGGUGGGGUAACGGCUCACCAUGGCAAUGAUACGUAGCCGACCUGAGAGGGUAAUCGGCCACAUUGGGACUGAGACACGGCCCAAACUCCUACGGGAGGCAGCAGUAGGGAAUCUUCCACAAUGGACGAAAGUCUGAUGGAGCAACGCCGCGUGAGUGAAGAAGGGUUUCGGCUCGUAAAACUCUGUUGUUAAAGAAGAACAUAUCUGAGAGUAACUGUUCAGGUAUUGACGGUAUUUAACCAGAAAGCCACGGCUAACUACGUGCCAGCAGCCGCGGUAAUACGUAGGUGGCAAGCGUUGUCCGGAUUUAUUGGGCGUAAAGCGAGCGCAGGCGGUUUUUUAAGUCUGAUGUGAAAGCCUUCGGCUCAACCGAAGAAGUGCAUCGGAAACUGGGAAACUUGAGUGCAGAAGAGGACAGUGGAACUCCAUGUGUAGCGGUGAAAUGCGUAGAUAUAUGGAAGAACACCAGUGGCGAAGGCGGCUGUCUGGUCUGUAACUGACGCUGAGGCUCGAAAGUAUGGGUAGCAAACAGGAUUAGAUACCCUGGUAGUCCAUACCGUAAACGAUGAAUGCUAAGUGUUGGAGGGUUUCCGCCCUUCAGUGCUGCAGCUAACGCAUUAAGCAUUCCGCCUGGGGAGUACGGCCGCAAGGCUGAAACUCAAAGGAAUUGACGGGGGCCCGCACAAGCGGUGGAGCAUGUGGUUUAAUUCGAAGCUACGCGAAGAACCUUACCAGGUCUUGACAUACUAUGCAAAUCUAAGAGAUUAGACGUUCCCUUCGGGGACAUGGAUACAGGUGGUGCAUGGUUGUCGUCAGCUCGUGUCGUGAGAUGUUGGGUUAAGUCCCGCAACGAGCGCAACCCUUAUUAUCAGUUGCCAGCAUUAAGUUGGGCACUCUGGUGAGACUGCCGGUGACAAACCGGAGGAAGGUGGGGAUGACGUCAAAUCAUCAUGCCCCUUAUGACCUGGGCUACACACGUGCUACAAUGGAUGGUACAACGAGUUGCGAACUCGCGAGAGUAAGCUAAUCUCUUAAAGCCAUUCUCAGUUCGGAUUGUAGGCUGCAACUCGCCUACAUGAAGUCGGAAUCGCUAGUAAUCGCGGAUCAGCAUGCCGCGGUGAAUACGUUCCCGGGCCUUGUACACACCGCCCGUCACACCAUGAGAGUUUGUAACACCCAAAGUCGGUGGGGUAACCUUUUAGGAACCAGCCGCCUAAGGUGGGACAGAUGAUUAGGGUGAAG
RNAcentral lists this ribosomal RNA (1497 nucleotides) under Lactiplantibacillus plantarum. RNAcentral's name for it is "bacterial SSU rRNA". It matches the Rfam family "Bacterial small subunit ribosomal RNA". Lineage: Bacteria; Bacillati; Bacillota; Bacilli; Lactobacillales; Lactobacillaceae. The record is from RNAcentral.